RNAcentral lists this long non-coding RNA (848 nucleotides) under Junco hyemalis (dark-eyed junco). RNAcentral's name for it is "lncRNA (ENSJHYG00000007120.1)". The record is from RNAcentral. Lineage: Eukaryota; Metazoa; Chordata; Aves; Passeriformes; Passerellidae.
CAGCAACAAAGCAAUCCAACAGAGGAAACUUCUUCCCACUUUUAAACUCAGAAAGUGAUUGCUCUCAAGCAAAAGUGACAUCAAAUGCUUUUUUAGAUAAAAGGUGGUACAAAUAAGAAAGAUCCUCCAGGAGAGGCUUUAAAGUGUCUUUCAAAAUUAGCAAGCACAAAAAGCCCAUAGGUCAAGAAUCAAGUCCUCUCCUGUAAUCCGUAUUCACUCAGAUAGCAUUUCAAGCUCAGGCUCCUGGAACUGACUUUCAAAGUCAUUUCUUCAUGAAAUGCGUGUUAUAUUAUUGUCGCUAUUCAUCCACCUCUAAACACCUGGCAUCAGGCAAAGUUCAAAGGAAUCAAACAAUGAACUGACCCCUUGCGGGGAAAAAAAAGUAAGAGCAGCACCAGGACUGGUCAGAAUGCUGGAAAAUGGACACUGAUAUGUGAAGCAAAAUAUUUCACUGUGGAUAACAGAGCUGUGUUAGGAUGGUAGGACAUGGUCUGCUUAUCGAGAUACUAUGGCAGAGAAGAGCUUUGCUGGCAGAGGCCUUGGAAAAAUGAACACAAUGAUUAAUAGUAUCAUGGCAGCACUAUUAUUUGAGUUCACUGCUGUGCUCAUCAUAUCCAGACAUGCUGCAGAGAUAAGGGACACUGUUUUCAGAGUUUCAAUACCCUCUCCACUUGGCUCUGGGAAGAAGUUGAGGCUUGGCUUUCUUUGAGGUGCUGUGUUGAAAGAGAAGUAGGAAGAACGCCUGAAUGGGAUCAACCACUGCUUUUGUGAACAAAUACCAGCAAUUAAGCUAGACGUUAUUGCAUGGAGAGGGAAUAAAACUUGCAAAUUGUCGUACUUCUGCUUCA